This is a non-coding RNA of Oryzias latipes (Japanese medaka), 928 nucleotides long. The record is from RefSeq and is a predicted model, not a curated record. NCBI's taxonomy places the organism in Eukaryota, Metazoa, Chordata, Actinopteri, Beloniformes, Adrianichthyidae.
GUGUUAAUUUCACCAAAAUCGCUUUUGUUGUCUUUAUUUUGUUGUUUUUAUGGGAAUGUUUUAAGCGGAGACUUUUAUUUUGGUGGUUCGCUGCUACUUCCUGUCUUUUCGCGGCAUCCCCCUCAGUCUCUGUGAGGACUGCCGAGAGGAGGUGUGUGUGGAAGAGUGAGACCCGACGCGACGUUUAUGUGCUGUAUUUUUGUUUUCACACAGGUAUGUGAGCAUUUAUUUUCAUCAGAUAUAUUUCAUUACCUUUUGCUUUUUAUUAAUUGAUUUAUAUUUGUUUGGGGUAUAUUUUAACACAGUGUUAUUUGUAUUGAUGUUUUGUAAUUUGAAAUGAUACAAAAAUGCCAUUCAAUGAGCGGAAGUGUGCUAUAUAUGUACUUUUGUAAUAUGUGGAGUCUCUGUGAGGACUGCCGAGAGGAGGUGUGUGUGGAAGAGUGAGACCCGACGCGACGUUUAUGUGCUGUAUUUUUGUUUUCACACAGUAAAUCCCCUUAAAUGGAUGGCAAUCCCUGUGUGAGACUCUUUAUUCAUAGAAAACACAACGCAGAAGAUUUUAGCUGAUGCUGCACUCGCCGAGAGUGCGCCCGGCUACAUUGGUGGUAAGGGAAAGCUAGUUGCUCUACUGGAACAGUACAAUGACAUUUUUUCUAAACAUCCACUAGAUUGCGGUGAGGCAAAAGGUUUUGUGCAUCGUAUCAGGCUUACAGACGAAAGACCGGUCCGAAUGCCCUACCGGCGAGUAUCACCUGCCCACUACCAGAAAUUACGACAAGUGUUGUCUGAAAUGGAGGAGCAAGACAUCAUAAGGAAAUCGGUGGCUGAAUGCCAAGACUUUCAAAGAUGCACACCCACUCCCGCAUCAGUCAGACUGCUUAGCUGCUCUAGGCGGAAAUGCCUAUUUUAGCACAAUGGACUUGACCUC